RNAcentral lists this long non-coding RNA (1142 nucleotides) under Homo sapiens (human). RNAcentral describes it as "non-protein coding lnc-HAO2-2:15". The record is from RNAcentral. Lineage: Eukaryota; Metazoa; Chordata; Mammalia; Primates; Hominidae.
UAGAAAUGUAGCACAAGCCUCAAAUACAAGCCACAUACAUACUUUUACAUUUUUUAGUAGCCACAUUAAAAUAAGUAAAAUUAAAUAGAUAAAAUUAAUUUUCAUACUAUAUUUUAUUUAACCCAAUAUAUCAAAAAUAUUGUAAUUUCACAUGCAUGUCACAUAAACAUUAUCAAUGAGCCAUUUUUCAUUUUUUUUAUAACAACUCUAGCAGCCCAUCUCAAUUUGAACUAGCUUAAUAGCCACAUGGGGCUUACUGCUACUGUAUUCAACAGCACAGCUCUGGAACCCUCUUCAUUUUCCUUUCUCUCUUCCUUUUCAUUUGUCUUUCCACUGCUUACGCCCUGUGCCCCUACUUGCUCCCCUCCUCUUCCCUCUUCUGUACUAUCAGUUUCAUUCAGAAAUGCCCUCCCCAUACCUCUGCCACCUCAAUCGCACCCACCCUGCUAGGUGGGAUCAGAUACAUCUGCUAGGACAGUCUCAAGACUGGUUAAUAUUAUGAUUAAUUAACAUCCAAAUAGCCCUUAGUAAAGAAUCCUUACUUUCAUUGGCUCAUUAAUAAUGGCAUGUAAUAAGUGCCAUUAUUUCCUCUUUAUUGUUGAAGAAACAGGUUCAAUUUCAAACUAUUCAGUGGUAGAGCAAGGACUUGGAAGCAGGUGUUCUGGGUUCAGAGCUUCCCACCAUGCCACACACAUGCUGCCAUUGCAGAAAGAAACCUCCACUCGGUGGCUUCCCUCACUCCCUUCUGACGGGAAAGAAAGAAAAUUAAAUAGCAGGUCCAGUAAAUUAUAACAUGUGCUGUAAUAGGAUAGGUAGAGGGUUCUAGGAGAGCAUUUGGAAAGGGCAUUUAACCUAUCUUGGGGGAAGUCACAGGAGAUAUGGGAUUGCAGAGCAGAAUGAAGUGACCCAUACAGGGAAUAAACCUAUGACCUUGGCCUCCUAAUCUCUCUCUCCUUACAGAUUCAGCUUCUGAUGGGGUUGCUUCUGAAAAGACCCCGGUGAGGUAAGUCAUAGUUUUAAUCAACUGCCAUGUUAUAGUUUAUUUCAGGCAAGUGGUUUAGGCACUGUCACAUUAUAAAUGUCAUUACUAGCUAAGACUGGCCUGAGGCUCAGUGAGCCACAGACAGUUUGAGAAUAUCUGC